AGCUCCAAUAGCGUAUAUUAAAGUUGCUGCAGUUAAAAAGCUCGUAGUUGGAUUUGUGGGAUGGCCGUCCGGCGGGGGGCCUUUCAUGGUCCCGUUUGUCCUGGUUUUCGGCCUUCCCUUUCUCGGGAAGCGGGUUGCUGGCAUUAGGUUGUCGGCGGCUUCGCGCCCGUCUUUUACUGUGAAAAAAUUAGAGUGUUCAAAGCAGGCUUAGGCCGUUGGAUAUAUUAGCAUGGAAUAAUGAGAUAAGGCCGCGGUGGUCUUUUCUGUUGGUUUGCCACACGCCGCAAUGGUAAAAAGGAACAGUUGGGGGUAUUCGUAUUCAACUGUCAGAGGUGAAAUUCUUGGAUUUGUGGAAGACGAACUACUGCGAAAGCAUUUACCAAGGAUGUUUUCAUUAAUC
Molecule: ribosomal RNA, 400 nt
Filed under: phytoplankton environmental sample
Lineage: Eukaryota
Description: partial small subunit ribosomal RNA
Rfam family: Eukaryotic small subunit ribosomal RNA
Source: RNAcentral